UUUGCCGGAAGGGAUCGUGGCUGACAUGGCGGAGGCCCCGCAGGGCGGCGGUGCGGGUGUCCCGCAGCACCCAGUCCCUAGUGCGAGCCACAGCAGCUUUCCAGAGUACGAGCUCCCCGAGCUGCACACGCGCGUGUUCCACGUGGGCGCCUUUGGAGCGCUAUGGCGCGACCGCCUGGGUGCCCGAGAUUUGUCGCUGAGCGAACCGCAGGCGGAGGCGCAGCGGUCGGACGGAGGGGCGUCCAACAACGGCUUGGAGGAUGCUGCGGUAGCCAGGGAUUUGGGCUGCAGUCUGGAGGCGGCGGCAGAGCUGAGGGUCGUGUGCGGCCUUGAUAAAUUGCGAUGCCUCGAAGAAGGUGAAGACCCAGAAGUCAUUCCAGAGAACACUGACCUAGUGACUUUAUGUGUCAGGAAGGGACUCUUGGAUUAUCGGGAAGAAACCAUCACGAUAGACCGUGCCUGUAGACAAGAAACAUUUGCUUAUGAAAUGGAAUCUCAUGCACUCGGAAAAAAACCUGAAAAUGCAGCAGAUAUGAUUGAAGAAGGGGAGAUUAUCCUGUCUGUGAACAUCUUAUACCCUGUUAUAUUUAAUAAGCACAAAGAACACAAACCGUACCAGACGAUGUUAGUAUUGGGCAGUCAGAAGCUCACAGAACUGCGAGAUUCAAUUUGCUGUGUCAGUGACCUCCAGAUUGGUGGAGAAUUCAGCAAUACUCCAGACCAAGCUCCUGAGCACAUCAGCAGAGACCUAUACAAAUCAGCUUUUUUUUAUUUUGAAGGAACAUUUUACAAUGACAGAAGAUUCCCGGAAUGCAGAGACUUGAGCAGAACUAUUAUAGAGUGGUCAGAGUCCCAUGAUCGAGGAUAUGGAAAAUUUCACACUGCUAGAAUGGAAGAUUUCACUUUCAAUGACUUGAAUAUCAAACUUGGCUUUCCUUACCUAUACUGUCACCAGGGAGACUGUGAACAUGUUGUCGUCGUCACAGACAUAAGGCUUGUGCAUCAUGAUGACUGCUUGGAUAGAACACUUUAUCCCCUUCUUACCAAGAAGCAUUGGCUAUGGACCAGAAAAUGUUUUGUCUGUAAGAUGUAUACAGCUAGAUGGGUGACAAACAAUGACACCUUUGCACCAGAGGAUCCAUGUUUCUUUUGUGAUGUUUGCUUCCGAAUGCUCCACUAUGAUUCCGAAGGCAACAAACUAGGGGAAUUCCUUGCUUAUCCUUAUGUUGACCCAGGAACCUUUAAUUAGUAACACACAAAAAUAUAUUUUUUCCUACUAAAGUUUAGUUCUAUAUUACAUUAUUUUAUAUUUAUUACGAGGGUUUGUUGUUGUUGUUGUUGUGGCUUUUUACUUAAACUUACGUUACGGAGAUGUAGAAAUGCCUUUUUGCAUUUUAAUAUAUAAACCGUGUUGGAAACACAACUUCUGAUUCUUUUCUCCGAGUCCUCUGCAUUCAUACCCUGACUGGGUUUUGCUAGUGAUAGAACACAGUUAAACAGAUCAUGUGUGUUAAGUCUUUUUAAACAACUCUUUGAAGAACGUGAGAGCUACACCUUCUGUGAAGCUUCCAAGGUUUAAUUUAAAUUCAUCCAAAUCCUACAUUUCUCUGGAAGACUAAGAACAGACAAUUACAAAAAAAAUAAAUACAUAAAUCCGUGAAACCUACACAUUUAAAAGAUGGUGCAGCGCGUUUACGGACAGUCACUUGAGGCGCCCGGCAGGAGGUGACAGUGGCCGCUUGCGGUAUGUCCAGUAGCGUUCUCUUUUAAUGUUAGAGGCAACAUGGGUGCCAUUUACUUGCUAACGCGGAAGCUUCUUACUUCCCUGUACUGAAUGGUGUGGAGAAUUCUGCUGCAUUCAGGAGUGAUUUUACUCGGUCCCUAGAGUAACUUGGCAGUUCAAGUGGGCCUUGCCAAAUGUUCAUACAACUGACAGUGUAAACUGCAGGAAGUUCCCCUUACUACAUUUAUAAUGCCGGCUACCCCAUUGUAAUGACAAUGUUGACAGGUAACAGACAGACAUUACACUGUGGAAUCCUUAUUUAUUCAGAAUGCUAUUCUACUUCUUUUUCACCAAGAGUUAACAUACCACCUAUUUCUUUAAUGGUGAAAAUGAGGAAAGGAUAACCAGGUUACUAUUUUACACCAAAAGAAUUUCAACUUUAUAUUUACAAACUAUAAAGCCCCUGACUUCAAUUUUUCUGUAUGUCAAUCUCAAUGUCUUAAGUAUAACAACAAUUAAAUUUCAUGUUGUCACUUUAA
Meriones unguiculatus (Mongolian gerbil) is the source of this 2262-nucleotide RNA transcript. It is a transcript of the gene named small nuclear RNA activating complex polypeptide 3, with no coding region annotated. Lineage: Eukaryota; Metazoa; Chordata; Mammalia; Rodentia; Muridae. The transcript is spliced from 10 exons. The record is from RefSeq and is a predicted model, not a curated record.